Small nucleolar RNA from Heterocephalus glaber (naked mole-rat), 136 nucleotides. Lineage: Eukaryota; Metazoa; Chordata; Mammalia; Rodentia; Bathyergidae. The record is from Ensembl.
AGCCUCAUUGUCAAUUACAAUGGGCUCUGCUGAUUGGUGUCCAAAGUUGGUCAAGGUAGCUAAAAUUGCAACACAGGUCACUCCGUUCCAUCACAGUAAACAUGUUACAGUGGUGACAGUGAGAUCUGCAACAUUU